This 241-nucleotide ribosomal RNA is filed under the name uncultured bacterium. Its description in RNAcentral is "partial 16S ribosomal RNA". It matches the Rfam family "Bacterial small subunit ribosomal RNA", at positions 92 to 334 of the family's 1533-position model. The record is from RNAcentral.
CGAGUGGCGGACGGGUGAGUAAUACUUAGGAAUCUGCCCAUUAGUGGGGGACAACAUUCGGAAACGGAUGCUAAUACCGCAUACGCCCUACGGGGGAAAGCGGAGGACCUUUCGGGGCUUCGCGCUAAUGGAUGAGCCUAAGUCGGAUUAGCUUGUUGGUGAGGUAAAAGCUCACCAAGGCGACGAUCCGUAGCUGGUCUGAGAGGACGAUCAGCCACACUGGGACUGAGACACGGCCCAG